AGAAAAGUAAUGAGGGAAAAAUAGCCACUUCUCAAGAAUUUCUCUAAGCCAAUUUUUUAGGCUCUGUUUCUCCUAAGUAUUUUAUUCCAUUAUCUCUGGUCAAGAUAAUUGGAUUGGCUUCGGACCAAUAAAGGGAAAGUAGGAUUUAAAAAUAGGUCUCACCAAAAUGACUGCCUAAACGCAAGCUGAACAAGAACAACAAUAUUGGUUGUGCUGACAUGGAGGGACAGAAGGCCUCAACGCUACUCCAAAAACUGCAGGAUAAAAGACCGCCACCGUUUCACAUUAGCUAAGAAGCAGCUCUGUCAUUUAAGGCAGAGCAUGAAAAUGAAGGUGAUUCUUAGGCGAGAUAAUCAUCUAUGGUGCCCCCAGCUAACAGAGUAUUCUCAAGAGACCAGGCGGUGUGAGUGAGCAACACGGAACUGAAUCAGGCCUCUGAGUGACUCAGGAAAGGGCCUUGAAAGCCCGAUACAUGAGAUGAAAGAACUCAUCAACCUGGAUCCCAGUGUGGAAAUGAGCACUUGAUAUCCUGAAGCAUCAUCUGUCCCGAACCCUAAUUCCUCUACUCAGUCUGCCGAUGGAGCCAACAACUGACAGGUGGGACUUCAGGAAACCAAAGCUCUGUGCACAGAGGAAACAGCCAGUUGAAUGAAGAGAUGGCCCACAGAAUGAGUGAUGAACACGUAAAUGAUUACUCAGAAGAGUUUGAAGGGGCAAUGGGUUAGCUUUUUUGUCAUCUUAACAUAAGGUAGAGUCAUCUGGGAAAAGGGAAUGCAGUUGUAAAAAUGCCUCCAUCUGAUUGGCCCAUAGGCAUGUCUAUGGAGCAUCUUCUUGAUAAAUA
Alexandromys fortis (reed vole) is the source of this 841-nucleotide long non-coding RNA. RefSeq lists it as uncharacterized. The record is from RefSeq and is a predicted model, not a curated record. NCBI's taxonomy places the organism in Eukaryota, Metazoa, Chordata, Mammalia, Rodentia, Cricetidae. The transcript has 4 exons.